RNAcentral lists this ribosomal RNA (496 nucleotides) under uncultured bacterium. Its description in RNAcentral is "partial 16S ribosomal RNA". It matches the Rfam family "Bacterial small subunit ribosomal RNA", at positions 29 to 507 of the family's 1533-position model. The record is from RNAcentral.
AUGAACGCUGGCGGCGUGCCUAAUACAUGCAAGUCGAGCGAACAGACGAGGAGCUUGCUCCUUUGACGUUAGCGGCGGACGGGUGAGUAACACGUGGAUAACCUACCUAUAAGACUGGGAUAACUUCGGGAAACCGGAGCUAAUACCGGAUAAUAUAUUGAACCGCAUGGUUCAAUAGUGAAAGACGGUUUUGCUGUCACUUAUAGAUGGAUCCGCGCCGCAUUAGCUAGUUGGUAAGGUAACGGCUUACCAAGGCAACGAUGCGUAGCCGACCUGAGAGGGUGAUCGGCCACACUGGAACUGAGACACGGUCCAGACUCCUACGGGAGGCAGCAGUAGGGAAUCUUCCGCAAUGGGCGAAAGCCUGACGGAGCAACGCCGCGUGAGUGAUGAAGGUCUUCGGAUCGUAAAACUCUGUUAUUAGGGAAGAACAAAUGUGUAAGUAACUAUGCACGUCUUGACGGUACCUAAUCAGAAAGCCACGGCUAACUACGUG